This is a non-coding RNA of Pelobates cultripes (western spadefoot toad), 259 nucleotides long. NCBI's taxonomy places the organism in Eukaryota, Metazoa, Chordata, Amphibia, Anura, Pelobatidae. The record is from the annotation of a GenBank genome assembly.
CUCAGAUCUGUUUGCCGGGAUAAUCCGUCGGCGUUGCCGUUCUGCUUCCCGGGUCGGUAGGUGAUUGUAAAAUUAAAGGGUUGCAGGGAUAAGCUCCAGCGUAACAAUCUGCCAUUGUCCCCAGCGACCCGGUUGAGCCACACUAGCGGGUUAUGGUCUGUAACCAGAGUGAACUCCUGUCCAUACAAAUAGGGGGUUAACUUCUUUAAUGCCCACACCAGAGCCAAACACUUCUUCCUUUUCUACUGCAGCAUAGCUG